CCUACGGGGGGCUGCAGUGGGGAAUUUUGGACAAUGGAGGAAACUCUGAUCCAGCAAUACCGCGUGAGUGAAGAAGGCCUUCGGGUUGUAAAGCUCUUUUGUUGAAGAAAAAAUCUCGUGCAAACGAGGAUGAUGGUAUUCAAAGAAAAAGCACCGGCUAACUACGUGCCAGCAGCCGCGGUAAUA
This 186-nucleotide ribosomal RNA is filed under the name uncultured bacterium. RNAcentral's name for it is "partial 16S ribosomal RNA". It matches the Rfam family "Bacterial small subunit ribosomal RNA", at positions 338 to 525 of the family's 1533-position model. The record is from RNAcentral.